Micropterus salmoides (largemouth bass) is the source of this 571-nucleotide long non-coding RNA. RefSeq lists it as uncharacterized. The transcript has 2 exons. The record is from RefSeq and is a predicted model, not a curated record. Lineage: Eukaryota; Metazoa; Chordata; Actinopteri; Centrarchiformes; Centrarchidae.
AAAGCACUUUGUAACUUGUUUUUGAAAAGUGCUCUACAAAUAAGGAUUAUUAUUUGUCGCGGUGGCAGCCCGGCUGUUGGUGAGUGUCCUGUUUCUCCUUUCCCUCACAUUCUGGUUUCUCCUGUGCCCUCUCGCUCCGGAGCCCGGAUGGCUACCCACACCUGCACCUCGUUAACCUCCAUCCCCAGCCGCCGCACCUGCCAGCCAUCAGCCUCAUCACAACCAGUAUAUCUACCCCGGCUUUCCACACCAUCCUCGCUCGAUCGUCGCAGCUCCAGACCUGGUUCACUCUCCUCUACCUCCCAGCUCGGCCAGCCGGGCUCGCUCGCCUGCCUCCUCCUCUCGCCGCCUCCACGACGCCCUCCGGCUUCCCCUCUCGCACCCCGCCUGGAACCCCAGUCUCCGCGCCCUCUCCUAUCCGUCUGCCAGCCUCCCUCAAGCCUCCAGCCUAAGUGCCCUCCGUUCCUCCAGCUUCUCGGUUCCCCGUGUCCUCGUCAGCCUCUCCCCCUCCUUCCACCCGCCCUCGCCUCAAACCCCCUUCUCCUCAAUAAACCUCUAUUUCUAACCCUCA